Molecule: ribosomal RNA, 429 nt
Filed under: Actinomycetes bacterium
Lineage: Bacteria; Bacillati; Actinomycetota; Actinomycetes
Description: Actinobacteria bacterium partial 16S ribosomal RNA
Rfam family: Bacterial small subunit ribosomal RNA
Source: RNAcentral
UAGGGAAUCUUCCGCAAUGGGCGAAAGCCUGACGGAGCAACGCCGCGUGAGUGAUGAAGGUCUUCGGAUCGUAAAACUCUGUUAUUAGGGAAGAACAAAUGUGUAAGUAACUAUGCACGUCUUGACGGUACCUAAUCAGAAAGCCACGGCUAACUACGUGCCAGCAGCCGCGGUAAUACGUAGGUGGCAAGCGUUAUCCGGAAUUAUUGGGCGUAAAGCGCGCGUAGGCGGUUUUUUAAGUCUGAGGUGAAAGCCCACGGCUCAACCGUGGAGGGUAAUUGGAAACUGGAAAACUUGAGUGCAGAAGAGGAAAGUGGAAUUCCAUGUGUAGCGGUGAAAUUCGCAGAGAUAUGGAGGAACACCAGUGGCGAAGGCGACUUUCUGGUCUGUAACUGACGCUGAUGUGCGAAAGCGUGGGGAUCAAACAGG